UACUAUAGCUUGACACUGAACAUUGAGCCUUGAUGUGUAGGAUAGGUGGGAGGCUUUGAAGCGUGGACGCCAGUCUGCGUGGAGCCGACCUUGAAAUACCACCCUUUAAUGUUUGAUGUUCUAACGUGGACCCGUAAUCCGGGUUGCGGACAGUGUCUGGUGGGUAGUUUGACUGGGGCGGUCUCCUCCUAAAGAGUAACGGAGGAGCACGAAGGUUGGCUAAUCCUGGUCGGACAUCAGGAGGUUAGUGCAAUGGCAUAAGCCAGCUUGACUGCGAGCGUGACGGCGCGAGCAGGUGCGAAAGCAGGUCAUAGUGAUCCGGUGGUUCUGAAUGGAAGGGCCAUCGCUCAACGGAUAAAAGGUACUCCGGGGAUAACAGGCUGAUACCGCCCAAGAGUUCAUAUCGACGGCGGUGUUUGGCACCUCGAUGUCGGCUCAUCACAUCCUGGGGCUGAAGUAGGUCCCAAGGGUAUGGCUGUUCGCCAUUUAAAGUGGUACGCGAGCUGGGUUUAGAACGUCGUGAGACAGUUCGGUCCCUAUCUGCCGUGGGCGCUGGAGAACUGAGGGGGGCUGCUCCUAGUACGAGAGGACCGGAGUGGACGCAUCACUGGUGUUCGGGUUGUCAUGCCAAUGGCACUGCCCGGUAGCUAAAUGCGGAAGAGAUAAGUGCUGAAAGCAUCUAAGCACGAAACUUGCCCCGA
Molecule: ribosomal RNA, 701 nt
Filed under: Salmonella enterica subsp. enterica serovar Bareilly
Lineage: Bacteria; Pseudomonadati; Pseudomonadota; Gammaproteobacteria; Enterobacterales; Enterobacteriaceae
Description: partial 23S ribosomal RNA
Rfam family: Bacterial large subunit ribosomal RNA
Source: RNAcentral